AAAAAAUUAGUUAAAUUAUUAUAACAUAAGUUUGUCAAACUUAAAUUAUCUCCCAAGAUACUUUUUA
RNAcentral lists this transfer RNA (67 nucleotides) under Pentacheles laevis. RNAcentral's name for it is "tRNA-Asp". The record is from RNAcentral. Lineage: Eukaryota; Metazoa; Arthropoda; Malacostraca; Decapoda; Polychelidae.